UACGAAGGUCCCAAGCGUUAUCCGGAUUUAUUGGGUUUAAAGGGUGCGUAGGCGGGUUAUUAAGUCAGUGGUGAAAGCCUGCAGCUUAACUGCAGAAUUGCCAUUGAUACUGAUGAUCUUGAGUAUGAUUGAGGUGGGCGGAAUGUGUCAUGUAGCGGUGAAAUGCUUAGAUAUGACACAGAACACCGAUUGCGAAGGCAGCUCGCUAAGUCAUAACUGACGCUGAUGCACGAAAGCGUGGGGAGCAAACAGG
RNAcentral lists this ribosomal RNA (253 nucleotides) under uncultured bacterium. RNAcentral's name for it is "partial 16S ribosomal RNA". It matches the Rfam family "Bacterial small subunit ribosomal RNA", at positions 524 to 776 of the family's 1533-position model. The record is from RNAcentral.